ACGGAAGGCAGCAGUGGGGAAUAUUGCACAAUGGGCGAAAGCCUGAUGCAGCGACGCCGCGUGAGUGAAGAAGUAUUUCGGUAUGUAAAGCUCUAUCAGCAGGGAAGAAAAUGACGGUACCUGACUAAGAAGCUCCGGCUAAAUACGUGCCAGCAGCCGCGGUAAUACGUAUGGAGCAAGCGUUAUCCGGAUUUACUGGGUGUAAAGGGAGCGUAGACGGUGUGGUAAGUCUGAAGUGAAAGCUCGAGGCUCAACUUCGGAAUUGCUUUGGAAACUAUCAUACUAGAGUGCAGGAGAGGCAAGUGGAAUUCCUAGUGUAGCGGUGAAAUGCGUAGAUAUUAGGAGGAACACCAGUGGCGAAGGCGGCUUACUGGACUGUAACUGACGUUGAGGCUCGAAAGCGUGGGGAGCAAACAGGAUUAGAUACCCUGGUA
This 434-nucleotide ribosomal RNA is filed under the name uncultured Lachnospiraceae bacterium. RNAcentral describes it as "partial 16S ribosomal RNA". It matches the Rfam family "Bacterial small subunit ribosomal RNA", at positions 341 to 792 of the family's 1533-position model. Lineage: Bacteria; Bacillati; Bacillota; Clostridia; Lachnospirales; Lachnospiraceae. The record is from RNAcentral.